AUAUAUAUCAACUUAUAAUACCAUUCGUUACCUCAUUAACACACUAGUUAUACCCAUUAAGUACAUUAUCAAUAUUAGUAUAAUUUUAAUACGAUGGUAUAAUUAGGUACAUUAAAAAAAAAAUCCAAUUUCAUAAUAACAAUACCAGUAGAUACAUAUAUAUUAUAUGCAGGGAUAAUAGUACUAUAGUAGUAAUAAUAAUAAUAAUUUUAGUCAUAGAAAGUAUUAUACUAUUCCUGUCACAUAAUAUACAUCUAACAUAAACGUAGAAUCACACAACCACAUAUAUUACACAUAACACAUACAAUUCCUAACGGGAUUCUAGUUGUUGAUGGACAUUGUGAAUUACCUCGCACGCGUCCCAAGUAUAGCAAUAUCAACUAAAAGUCGCCUUCUACGAAGUUUCCGUCUACAACAAAUAAUAUUACCUAAAGUUAGUCACUUAUAUAAUAUCCCGAAAAAUAAUUAUUCAAAAUUACAAAAUUAAUAGUAAAUGACAAAGUCAAUAACCAAGGUUGCAAAGAACAAAUUUAAAAGCUUUGAAAACAAAAACGUGACAUAAGGAGAAUUUUUUUUUUCUUGAAAGUUGUUUCAACGUGACAGCAAGUCACGGAUCUCUUGUGGAAUUUGCUGCACAGGUAAUCUUUUCCUCUUUCUCUUUUUUUUUUUUUUUUGUAUUAAGACUUCUAAAGCUUGACAAACAAAUUUUUUUAGAACUGGUGCACGCAGCACGCAGCAGCGAGAAGCAGGAGGAAGAAAGGAAAGAAGAAAGAAGAAGACUGACGCCGGAUUCCGGCCAAGUCAUCAGACGACGUCGUAUGAAAAGGUGCGGACCAUUCUCAUGAUAGAUUCAUGUCUACCAUCUAAUUUACGGUGUAAACUUAGCAUGAAAGUAUGUAACAGUUGCAACAGAUGCAUGAAGAAAAGAAAUUGAUAAACGAAGACUUUGAAUAAAAGAAGAAUCAAGAAUGAAGUUCUAGUUUAUAAUUUCUUAGAAUAGUAACUUUAGAUUAAAAUGUAAUAUGCUCUAACUUAGUAAUAUGCUAUGUGUUAAAUAUAGAAAUAUAAAGUUAGUAUAGUUAUUAUUUUCUUAGAGUUAAGAAAGUAAAUAAUUAUAUUAAAAUUAUAUUUCUAUAUAAGAGGAAAUAGAUUUUCGAA
Long non-coding RNA from Beta vulgaris subsp. vulgaris (sugar beet), 1158 nucleotides. RefSeq lists it as uncharacterized. The record is from RefSeq and is a predicted model, not a curated record. The transcript has 3 exons. Lineage: Eukaryota; Viridiplantae; Streptophyta; Magnoliopsida; Caryophyllales; Amaranthaceae.